GAAUGAUACAGAGAAGAUUAGCACGGCCCCUGUGCAAGAAUAACACGCAAAUUCAUGAAGUGGUCCAGAUUUUU
Molecule: small nuclear RNA, 74 nt
Filed under: Sus scrofa (pig)
Lineage: Eukaryota; Metazoa; Chordata; Mammalia; Artiodactyla; Suidae
Source: RNAcentral